AGGACGAACGCUGGCGGCGCGCUUAAUACAUGCAAGUCGAGCGAGAACCGGUCCUUCGGGACCGGGGAGAGCGGCGAACGGGUGAGUAACACGUGGGUAAUCUGCCCUCGGUACUGGGAUAGCCCGGGGAAACCCGGAUUAAUACCGGAUAGCCUUUCGAGCUCUCGGGCUCGUUAGAAAAGGUGGCUUCGGCUUCCGACUGAGGAUGAGCCCGCGGCGGAUUAGCUUGUUGGUGAGGUAACGGCUCACCAAGGCUUCGAUCCGUAGCUGGUCUGAGAGGACGAUCGAGCCACACUGGGACUGAGACACGGCCCAGACCUCCUACGGGAGG
RNAcentral lists this ribosomal RNA (331 nucleotides) under uncultured soil bacterium. RNAcentral's name for it is "bacterial SSU rRNA". It matches the Rfam family "Bacterial small subunit ribosomal RNA", at positions 26 to 348 of the family's 1533-position model. The record is from RNAcentral.